GUAUCAGAGGGUAAAUGUAGCAUUAGAGGAUAAAUGUAGUGUUAGAGGGUAAAUGUAGCAUUAGAGGGUAAAUUUAGCACUAGAGGGUAAAUGUAGUAUUAGAGGGGAAAUGUAGCACUAGAUGGUAAAUGUAGUACCGGAGGGUAAAUGUAGUAUCAGAGGGUAAAUGUAGUAUCAGAGGGUAAAUGUAGCAUUAGAGGGUAAAUGUAGUACCAGGAGGUAAAUGUAGUAUUAGAGGGGAAAUGUAGCAGUAGAUGGUAAAUGUAGUACCGGAGGGUAAAUGUAGUAUCAGAGGUUAAAUGUAGUACUAGAGGGUAAAUGUAGUACCAGAGGGUAAAUGUAGUAUCAGAGAGUAAAUGUAGUAUUAUAGGGUAAAUGUAGUAUUAGAGGGUAAAUGUAGCAUUAGAGGGUAAAUUUAGCACUAGAGGGUAUAUGUAGCACUAGAGGGUAAAUGUAGUAUUAGAUGGUAAAUGUAGCACCGGAGGGUAAAUGUAGU
Amphiprion ocellaris (clown anemonefish) is the source of this 496-nucleotide long non-coding RNA. The record is from Ensembl. NCBI's taxonomy places the organism in Eukaryota, Metazoa, Chordata, Actinopteri, Pomacentridae.